AUCACCACGCUGGCACUUCCUGUUUACCUGUCCCAUUGACCUCCUCUUUGGAGAGUCACCGGUGCUGAGUGCUCCAGGCAGCCCUGAGGACAUGCACUCACAUGGCCAGCUUCAAAGUUAAGGCAAAGUUUACCCAGAGUUGAGCUUCCACAGGCUGCCCCGCUGUUCACUGGGGUUGUGUGCUCAGAUAAGAAGGCUGCUUCCUGGUCUAAACAUACACAGACAAAGAGAAAACAAAGAAGAAGGACAGGCAGAAAGAAAAAAAGAGGAGGCUUGGAGGCAAACAGCGAAGUCUUAUCGCAGUUGGCGGUUCAAAGAGCCACUCCUCGCCAGGGCGGAAGCUCCUCUCAACCUAGAAUGAGAUCAGUGUGCAUCCAACAAGGGACUUCCUCCCCACACAGGAAGUGGAGGUGCAGCUGAGAGGGAAAGGGCUCUUCCUCUGCCACCCCCGUUCUUCCAAGUCCUGCUCCUCCCUCGUCCUCCUCCAUGAUCCGUGUUUUGUCUCAGAAAUAACAUAAAGCAUUGCUCACGCUCACUCCCUCUCCCCUUUUUCUGACCAAGCAGGAAGUGCAGCCUGUUAUGUUUACAUAACAGAGGUCCUCUCUCCCGCCAAAGCCACCCAAUGGCCCCUGGGAAACGGGAAUCCCCAGACUUCAUCUGCUCACAUUUGUGAAGUGGACAUCCAUCACAGAUUGACAGAGAAAUGUGUCUGCAUGUGUAUAUGGGAGAGAGGCUUCCGGUGGGAGCAAAGAGAGAGAGAACAGAAGAGCAUCUGUGCUAAUGUUGAUGAUCCUUUCCUGAGAAGGUUUUCCUUUUACUUAAGUUGACCCCUGCUGCAAUGGAAGAAGAACUGGAUGUGCUCUUGUUCAAGAGCCCCCCAUCAUUUCCCAUUGUGCCAUUUGGCUUUGGCACUUAUCUCUUUGCACAUGAUUCCAAUAGUGAAGAUUUGCACUCAAUGUGCGCUUGAAGCUGGGAGAUAUGAAUGCCAUCGGUGAUGGAUAACACACUAUGUCUGCCUUGUUCUGGGGGGAGAUGUGCACACUCAUGAGGCUCAUGUGACUAGCAAUGGGUCGACAGAGAGAGGGUCUAUCCAUCUGAGGCCCCCAGAAAACUGCCCGUUGGCCAUUAUGGAACAAAUGAAGACUUUUGAGUGUGUGGAAGGGAAGUGGAUAUUUAGUUCACUGGUGGCAGGGCUAGAUUAAUGUGUUUCUGUCCAUGGAUUUAAUUGUGUGUAACAAAAGUCUUGAUGUGGUGUUACAAUCAAAUGUUCAGAUCAUUUUUCUUUCAUUAUAAAUAAAUUUGAAAAUUUACAAUUCCCUUUAAACAGAAACACCUCAGAGAAAAGUCUUAAAAAUAAGAAUACAGCAGAGAGAAAAAAUGGCAGAUGCCUUUGCAAAACUACAAACUUUCUGACUUUUCUUUUUUACGUUUUUGUGUCAACUGCAGAAACAAUUGGCCUCGUAGAAGAGCAAUUUUGGAUCCUUGCUCAAAACAGAUUUAUCUUGUUUUUCAGUCUAAUUAUCCAGAUUCUUUUAACUGUGCAAACUUGCCAUAAAUCAUUCAUUUCAGACUAAUGAAUCCCACCUGUUCAUAAAGAGGUGAACGUUUGUGACUCUUGAGUGGUUUAGGCUAGAUGAAGUUAGAUGUUUUCAAGGCAGGGCAGUGUGUGCCUAAUCACUGAGUAUUUGGAAAUAGUUCAGCUUGUUUCAGGUAAUGUUACACUGUCUUCAGACAGCAUGUAGACUCGGACAGCUGUUGGCGCAGCACAACCAACUGCUAGAAUAUAGACGCUCCUGCAGAUCUAUUUGUUUGCUUGAAUAAAAGGAUUUCCUGUUUUGCUUUGAUAAAUUGCUGCCAAGUAACUCUAUCCCAUUUGUUUUUGUUGUUUUGUGGAUUCUAUUCAGUGCAUGUGUUCACGUACUAUAUCUAUGCCCGUGUUUAUCCACACAUUUGUUUAGAGUGUGAAAUGCUUCUACGCGUCCUGCUGUUGAAGAACUUGUCCUUGGCUCUGCAGAUCCACUCACAGAGUGGAGAGUUUGAGUAGCUGCCAUGAGGACUUAUGGCCUCAGGACCUGUUGGUGGAGGUCAGAGAGUACAAGAGGCGACAGCUGUAGAAAUGUUGAGAGCCCAGUGCAGCAUGAAUACUGCCGGUUAUAGCCAGCAUCGCACGCACACACGGAUACAUACACACCCACACACUCAACACACACAGCGAUCAGAUCCUUAUCUAAAAGAUACAUUGUUUGGAAGUUGCUGGAGGACCGCCUAACAGGAUAUAGCCCACUGUUAGAAAGUGUGUCUGUGUUUGCGCGUGUGUUACACAGGAUCAUAUAGGACGUGAUCAAAAAAGCUGAGGCCUUUUAUUGCAGUUUUCGCCAAUCUGCAGCCUGUUUGAAUGGAUUUCCAUGAUUUUUGUCAGUCUUUGAACUUGUUUGAGUUGUUGAUGUGGUCAUUCAGUAUCCAGGAGCCUCUUUUGUCUUCUAUAAGUCAAACUGCUACUAUCAAAACUGUAACAAAUAAAACAGAUAUAACUACA
Maylandia zebra (zebra mbuna) is the source of this 2536-nucleotide long non-coding RNA. RefSeq lists it as uncharacterized. The record is from RefSeq and is a predicted model, not a curated record. NCBI's taxonomy places the organism in Eukaryota, Metazoa, Chordata, Actinopteri, Cichliformes, Cichlidae.